RNAcentral lists this ribosomal RNA (252 nucleotides) under uncultured bacterium. RNAcentral describes it as "partial 16S ribosomal RNA". It matches the Rfam family "Bacterial small subunit ribosomal RNA", at positions 84 to 339 of the family's 1533-position model. The record is from RNAcentral.
CCUGGUGGCGAGUGGCGGACGGGUGAGUAACGCGUAGGAAUCUACCCAGUAGCGGGGGAUAGCCCGGGGAAACCCGGAUUAAUACCGCAUACGAUCUACGGAUGAAAGCGGGGGACCUUCGGGCCUCGCGCGAUUGGAGCGGCCGAUGUUAGAUUAGGUAGUUGGUGGGGUAAAGGCUCACCAAGCCGACGAUCCAUAGCUGGUUUGAGAGGAUGAUCAGCCACACUGGGACUGAGACACGGCCCAGACUCC